This is an RNA transcript of Balaenoptera musculus (blue whale), 4949 nucleotides long. It is a transcript of the gene named thymidine kinase 2, with no coding region annotated. The transcript has 11 exons. NCBI's taxonomy places the organism in Eukaryota, Metazoa, Chordata, Mammalia, Artiodactyla, Balaenopteridae. The record is from RefSeq and is a predicted model, not a curated record.
CCGAAGUGCGCCGCAAGGAAGGUCGGGUCCGUUGGAUUCGCCAGCGGGGCAAUGCUGCUGCGGCCGCUGCGGAGCUGGGCUUCCCGGGCGCUGCGCCGCGACAGGCCCCGGAGCCCCGCCUCCAGCCCGGGGUCGCUAGGGGCGCAGCGUUGGGCCUGGCCUCGGGAUAAAGAUAGAGAAAAUGAAAAAGAGAAAAAAUCAGUGAUCUGUGUCGAGGGCAAUAUUGCAAGUGGGAAGACGACGUGCCUGGAGUUCUUCUCCAACACAACUGACAUCGAGGUGUUAACGGAGCCCGUGCCCAAGUGGAGAAACGUCCGAGGCCAUAAUCCUCUGGGUCUGAUGUACCAGGACGCCUGUCGAUGGGGCCUCACGCUGCAGACAUAUGUGCAGCUUACCAUGCUGGACCAGCACACUCGUCCUCAGACAUUGCCUGUACGGUUGAUGGAGCGGUCGAUUCACAGCGCAAGAUACGUUUUUGUAGAAAACUUGUAUAGAAGUGGGAAGAUGCCUGAAGUGGACUAUGUGGUCCUCUCGGAAUGGUUUGACUGGAUUGUGAGGAACAUCGAUGUGUCCAUUGACUUGAUCGUUUAUCUCCAGACCACUCCUGAGACCUGUUACCAGAGGCUAAAGAUGAGAUGUAGGGAAGAGGAGAAGGUCAUUCCACUGGAAUACCUGGAUGCUAUUCACCACCUGUACGAGGAGUGGCUCAUCAAAGGGAGCCUUUUCCCCGUGGCGGCCCCUGUUCUGGGCAUCUGAAGGAACGUCAGUUGCUGUUCUGGUCUGUCACACAAUGAUGCCCCCUUAGGAGGUGCUGAGGUGAUUGAGGCUGACCACGACAUGGAGAAAAUGUUAGAACUCUUUGAACAAAACCGGCACCGAAUACUAAUUCCAGAGGAUCGGAAGCUUGGUCCAUAGGACGGGGAAGAUCAUGCCAGAGAAAUGCCCGCUGCUGCCAAGUUAGCUCUCACGAGCAAUUUGGAACAAUCCACUCUCGGGAGGGCUUUCUAUCUGGGCACAUUUGUCUUCCUAAUGGUCUUCUCUCCUUUACCAGUGUCUUUAUCCUGGGAUUCUGGCCCUCGUGGGUAAAUGACAUGAUGGGACCAUUGGGUUUGUCGCGGCCCUUUGGUGUCGCAGCCUUGCAUUCCCCCGGUGCUUCUCCCGGUGGUUUCCCACCUCUGGAUUCCUCUAAGUUAGGGAAGAGCCACCUGACUGACCCUGGGCUCAUGGUCUCUAGCCCUUCAGACCAUCCUCGAGGGCGAGGUAGUGGUCUUACACCCCAGGGGAGGAAGUUGAAGCUCAGACAGGCUAAGGGACUCCCUGGGGUCACACAGCCAGUGACAGUGGAGUCAGCACCAUUCAGACUUCCGGUGACUCCCAAACGAUCAACCUCUUGCCCCAGGCUGCCUCAUCCCAAGAGCCCUGCCUUCCCUGCUGGAGAGCCCCGUGCGCGCGUGCGUGUGUGUGUAUAGCGGGGGCAGCGGUGCAUGCAGCCAGCAUCAUCAUUUUCUCCUGAUUUGAGCAGCUCCUGAGGACAGUUAGCAUUUCUAGACUUUCACAAAAUUGUGCGGUAUUUGGCUCGAGCCCAGUGCUCAGUGAUUCACUAGCAUGAGGCUGAUGUGGUACUUACCACCUCGUCAUCGGGACUUCCCCAUCCUCAGAAGAAUCAUGGUUUGGUUCCUGAAUGGUGCUCGGUCUUCUUGGUGACGAAGGUCCUGCUUGAGCUGCUGCUGAUUCCCCGGCAGGGCAAUGGCCUGUGGCGCCAGGCUGGUGUGCCCAGUGCUGUGCUGGGGCAAGGGGCUACCAGCCUGGCUUCUGAGGCUCCCUUCCUCCAUAGUGGCCUUGUGUGAAGAGCUUCACCCUUGGAAUUCCUGGGAGUUUGUGGCCCAGGGGAGAGACACAGUGGCCUUACGUCUUUUUGAAAUGUUUUUCCAUCCAAAGGGACACCAUGGGCCCUAGGGCAUGAACCAUCUUUAUUAGUUCAGAGAAUAUCUUAGCUCCGUUCAGCUGUAACAAUGCACUGAAGGCACGGCUGUCUCCUGAGUCAAGUAGGAAGCAAGAGAAAGGAAGAACAUUCUCUUCGGGGACAGUCUGGGCAGGAAAGUUGGGGCUGGCAAGCAAAGGCUCUUGGAGCACUAGAGCUCCUGAAUUUUGGAGGUGGGUGGGGAGAGCUUCCAGAAGGCUGUUUGCAGACACGGGGAAGGAUUGAUUAUGAACUUAGGGAAACAGGCCUUGGCCUCUCCCGAGUGGUGGUUGGUGUACCUGAAGGUUGGAAGGCCUCGUCCCAGCCUCUGUGUGAGUGUGGCUCCUGUGCACGCAAUUCUCUGACGCUACAUAGGUGAGAGGUGCCCCUGGUGGCCCGGGCCCAGAGGCAGCGCUAGGAGGGCAGCACUCUGGCUUCCGGCCCUUUCUGGCUGGACUGACUCCUGGGCCGUGUGCACAGGGUGAGGGUGGGAGCCUGGUGGGGAUGUGUCUCUCAGCCCAGUUGUUGGUGAUGGACCAGAAACCUGGGGGAGGCAGCGCCUCUGCUUCCAGGCAUCUGGACAUGCCGGGACCAUCUUUGGGCCUUUGCAAACAAACAGUCCAAUUUCCCCUCAAUUUGAGCAUCUGUUUUGGGGGAAAUGUGAUUUAAAAAAAAAAAAAAAUCUUGCUCUGUGAUAGCCAAUAAAUCCUUCACUUAAAACCUGGUGAUAAUUUUGGAGUGCUUCCUAUGCCAGUGAUUCUAGGUCCCUGCAGCAUCCUUGUACCAGCAGAGUAAUGUUUUAAUUUUUAAACACUGUGUUCCUAACGGGAUGUCCAGGUCCAUAAGAGCUCUCUGUCCUCCCACCCCGGCAUCUUGGAGAGGAUGCUAUAUGUACCCACAGUGGCUGGGGCUUGUCGCAAAAAUCUCCCGGCCCAGAGAUGUCACAGGAAAUGGCUGGAGCCCAGCCCACCAAGGGUUGCUCUCCCCCAUGUGGCAGGCAGGGCUGGUGGUGGCAGGGGUCACAGAGCAGUUAUGAACACUGCUGAGAACCAGGGCAGGGAAAGGGCAGAUGGCACAUGGUAGGCACGGGGCCCAGUUCCUUCAGCAGAGGGAGGCACUCCCCAGGGACUCCCAGGAAUGGCUGUGAGGAGCGUGGCAGGGCUUGGCAGGCCCUUGCUAAACAUGGACCCUGGGAAGUGCUGUCACCCAGCUUGUUUUUACCUUUCUGUUUCUCUUCCUGCCUCUUUUCUUCCUUUCCACCUGAGCCCCUCACCUAGAUGAGAUGUGCCCCCUUGCCUGGGGAAUGCAUCAGUCAGAGACCCUUCCUGGGACUCCCGCAGGCUCCCACCAUCUGACCUGUGGAAGGAAGGAUUGAGGCAUUUAUUGCUCUGAGAGCAGGUAGGAGAUGUUUCCAAAACCUGUCUACCCCUGGGUGCUAUGGAUCCGCUUCGCCCUCGUUUUCCUAGAGCCUGGGGCCGGAUGGAGGAGCUCACUUCAAAUGCUCACACAUCUGCGGAAUGAGUAACACUCAUCCCCUUGGCCUCUUCACCCUGAAGAGUUACAGUUAUUAAAAUAAUUGACAAGCUCUUGGAGACGUCAGCCCUCCACUGUUGAGACUCUAAUAACAAUAAUAUUGUGCCCAGUGUCUCUGGGCUUUGGCAGUGGAUUACUUAUUUACCAGAGGCCCCAGGGUCACAGGCACAUGCUUUCUUUUCCUAAUAACCCCAACCUUGUGGCUCCCCUAAGGCUGGGGUGAGCUCUGUGUUCCUCUAGUUUCCGUAAGAUGGUGAACUUGGCAAAAGCUGUCAUUAAACAGAAGCUAGGAGAAAGCCAAGCUUGUGGAAUCAUAAUGGGCAUUGGCAUUUAUUGCUCUUUUCUUGAAUUUCUGCAUUUUUUGGCUUUUUCUUCUCCAAGACUGGGGUCUGUGGAACACAGGUGUCCUGGGAGAUAGUAAUAGGUGCUCUGAGAAAAGAGGGUUCUGUAGUCCAGAAAAUUUGGGAAACACCACCUGGGUACUCUCUCUGAGAUGCACAAGGUACAUUAGCCUAGAUAAAGUCAAGAAGUCCUGCAAUAAAAACACCUUCUAAAUUUUUUUAGCCAGGGACUCUCAAACUCACUUGACAGUAGAGCCUCCCAUUUGGGGAAUAUACAUUAACAAUCUCCAGAUGUGCUAAUGUUCCUUGGAACACACAUUGGGAAGCACUGUUUUAGGGGGCCUGCAGCUGCUGAUGACUCCUGGUUCUGUGUCCUUCGGGAUGCUCUAGCUCAUGGUUCUCUAACUUCAGAGCAUCUGAGUCCUCCGGUGGGCGUGUUAAAACACGGACUGCAGGGCCUACCCCCAGAGUUUCUAAUUCAGUAGAUCUGGGAUGGGCCUGAGAAUUUGUUUUCUAAUGACUUUCUAGGGGAUGAUGAGUCUGCUGGUCCAGGAACCACCCUUUGGGGACCACUUCUCUUAGCUUGAUGUUUUCUAGAAGUGGACAUCCAGGAGUUCCAAGAAAACUUGGCAUGUUGUUGAACCUCUCAUGAGUGUUGGCUGUCUUAUCUGUUGAAUGGGAGCAUGGCUCACUUCCUAGGGCCGUGAGGAUAACCAGCCUGGCAUGUGGAAGGGGCCCAGAGCAGGACCAAUUGCUAAGUUUUAAAUAAAUCUUACCUUUGGGGAUCCAGAUGUUGAAACAUACUAUAAAACUUCUAUAAUUAAAACAGUAUGGUACUGGUGCAUGAAUAGACAAGUAGACCAGUGGAAUAGAAUAGAGAGCCCAGAAAUAGAUGCAAGUACAUGAUAGAGGUGACAUCUCAAUGAUUAUUGGGGGUAAAGAUGGAUUUUUAAAUAAAUGGUGCUGAGAUGACUGAGUAGCCAUUUGGAAAAAGAUAAAAAUAGAUCCAUAUCUCACAUCAUACCCAAGAAUAAAUUCCAAGUGGUUAGGGAUCUAAAUGUAAAAAUUGAAACCAUGCAAGUACUAGAAGAAUGAAUUCUUCUUUAAAACCUUGA